UACGUAGGGCGCAAGCGUUGUCCGGAAUUAUUGGGCGUAAAGAGCUCGUAGGUGGCCUGUUGCGUCUGCCGUGAAAGCCCGUGGCUUAACUGCGGGUCUGCGGUGGAUACGGGCAGGCUAGAGGCUGGUAGGGGCAAGCGGAAUUCCUGGUGUAGCGGUGAAAUGCGCAGAUAUCAGGAGGAACACCGGUGGCGAAGGCGGCUUGCUGGGCCAGUUCUGACGCUGAGGAGCGAAAGCGUGGGGAGCGAACAGG
RNAcentral lists this ribosomal RNA (253 nucleotides) under uncultured bacterium. RNAcentral describes it as "partial 16S ribosomal RNA". It matches the Rfam family "Bacterial small subunit ribosomal RNA", at positions 524 to 776 of the family's 1533-position model. The record is from RNAcentral. RNAcentral also lists the same sequence under 1 other name.